This 305-nucleotide ribosomal RNA is filed under the name uncultured bacterium. RNAcentral's name for it is "bacterial SSU rRNA". It matches the Rfam family "Bacterial small subunit ribosomal RNA", at positions 337 to 659 of the family's 1533-position model. The record is from RNAcentral.
UCCUACGGGAGGCAGCAGUAGGGAAUCUUCCACAAUGGGCGCAAGCCUGAUGGAGCAACACCGCGUGAGUGAAGAAGUAUUUCGGUAUGUAAAGCUCUAUCAGCAGGGAAGAAAAUGACGGUACCUGACUAAGAAGCCCCGGCUAACUACGUGCCAGCAGCCGCGGUAAUACGUAGGGGGCAAGCGUUAUCCGGAUUUACUGGGUGUAAAGGGAGCGUAGACGGCGCGGCAAGUCUGAAGUGAAAGGCAGGGGCUUAACCCCUGAACUGCUUUGGAAACUGCCAUGCUAGAGUGCUGGAGAGGUA